Mesocricetus auratus (golden hamster) is the source of this 1144-nucleotide long non-coding RNA. RefSeq lists it as uncharacterized. NCBI's taxonomy places the organism in Eukaryota, Metazoa, Chordata, Mammalia, Rodentia, Cricetidae. The transcript is spliced from 2 exons. The record is from RefSeq and is a predicted model, not a curated record.
CACAGCACCUAGGAUGAGGGGGUUUGAGAGAAGAGGCAUGGUUUUGCAUCAAGCCUUGUCAACGCUGUCCCCUACUGUACCCAGUCUCAACCAUCCCCACCCAUCUUUAUUUUUUUAAUGAUUUACUUAUUUAUUAUAUAUACAGUGUUCUGCCUGCAUGUAUCCUACACACCAGAAGAGGGCACCAGAUCUCAUUACAGAUGGUUAUGAGCCACCAUGUGGUAGCUGGGAACUGAACUCAGGACCUCUGGAAAAGCAGCCAGUGCUCUUAACCUCUGAGCCGUCUCUCCAGCCCCCCACCCAUCUUCUUGGUUCCUCCGAGUCUAAUGAAAUUCUGCUCUUUGCUUCCACCCAGCUCUGAGACCAUGUCUUCCAGAAGCUUCCAUCCUCUAGCUAUGCUCCAGUACCUUUACAGCCCUCUUAGGACUCAGUGUUGGCUUCAGCUCCCUUGGAUGACCCUGAUUUAGGAGCAGUCUACCUUUUCCUCAUGGCCUCAACAGAAGGACACACUCUGCCACCUAUAUUUGCUCUGGGUUGGCAUUGUCCAUGCCCAGUACAGACAGGAGGUGGCCCUGGGCUCACAGGAGAGCCUUCCCUGCCUUGAUCAGCAUGAUGAUGAUGUGGACUUGCUGCUCCCAUACCAGCCUCCAGAAGUCCUCUACCGUCUUCUUGAGCGGCCCCUGAGUGGCGAUGAACUCCUGUGGGUGGCUGUAGCCCUAAGGUGUGAGGUACAUGUUACCAGACAUGUUACCAUCAAACUUUCAGCAGUGGAUAUGAUCAUAUAUGACCCACAGGAACCGUGAUCAUGGAGGGUGAUCUGCCACCACCCAUGUCCCAUUUGGAAGGGGUAAGAAAAACAUUCAUGAAAAUACAAGAUUCUAACAUGCUCGAAACAGUCCACCCAGUCACCCUCUUCACUAAGCUUGCUAUGACUUUGUUAUUUAGAGACAGUGAUUUAUUAUGUAGCCCAGGCUGUCCUUAAACUUCUAAUUCUCUUGCUUCAGUCUCCUAUGUGCCAGAAUUUCAGGUGUGUGUCACCAUGCCUAGCUCCAGAGCGACCUUCCUAAAACUAAAUUGUGUGUGCAUUAUAUGGGCAAAUAUACAUAUGUGUAUGUGUGUGUAAAUAUAUAUAUAAUAUACUCAA